This 748-nucleotide ribosomal RNA is filed under the name uncultured soil bacterium. RNAcentral's name for it is "bacterial SSU rRNA". It matches the Rfam family "Bacterial small subunit ribosomal RNA", at positions 31 to 772 of the family's 1533-position model. The record is from RNAcentral.
GAACGCUGGCGGCAUGCCUUACACAUGCAAGUCGAACGGCGGCACGGGAGUAAUCCUGGUGGCGAGUGGCGAACGGGUGAGUAAUAUAUCGGAACGUGCCCAGUCGUGGGGGAUAACGCAGCGAAAGCUGUGCUAAUACCGCAUACGAUCUCUGGAUGAAAGCGGGGGACUCGCAAGAGCCUCGCGCGAUUGGAGCGGCCGAUAUCAGAUUAGCUAGUUGGUGGGGUAAAGGCCCACCAAGGCGACGAUCUGUAGCUGGUCUGAGAGGACGACCAGCCACACUGGAACUGAGACACGGUCCAGACUCCUACGGGAGGCAGCAGUGGGGAAUUUUGGACAAUGGGCGAAAGCCUGAUCCAGCAAUGCCGCGUGCAGGAUGAAGGCCUUCGGGUUGUAAACUGCUUUUGUACGGAACGAAACGGUCUCUCUUAAUACGGGGGGCUAAUGACGGUACCGUAAGAAUAAGCACCGGCUAACUACGUGCCAGCAGCCGCGGUAAUACGUAGGGUGCGAGCGUUAAUCGGAAUUACUGGGCGUAAAGCGUGCGCAGGCGGUUAUAUAAGACAGAUGUGAAAUCCCCGGGCUCAACCUGGGACCUGCAUUUGUGACUGUAUAGCUAGAGUACGGUAGAGGGGGAUGGAACUCCGCGUGUAGCAGUGAAAUGCAUAGAUAUGUCACAGAACACCAAUUGCGAAGGCAGCUUACUAUGGUAUGAUUGACGCUGAGGCACGAAAGCGUGGGGAUCAAA